Molecule: ribosomal RNA, 497 nt
Filed under: uncultured bacterium
Lineage: Bacteria
Description: partial 16S ribosomal RNA
Rfam family: Bacterial small subunit ribosomal RNA
Source: RNAcentral
GAUGAACGCUGGCGGCGUGCCUAAUACAUGCAAGUCGAGCGAACGGGCGAUAAGCUUGCGUCGCGCAUGUGAGCGGCGGACGUGUGUGUAACACGUGUAUAACCUACCUAUAAUACGGGGAUAACUUCGGGAAAGCGGAGCUAAUAGCGGAGAAUAUUCUGAACCGCAUGGGGCAAAAGUGAAAGACGGUGUUUCUGUCUCGUAUAGAUGGAUCCGCGCUGCAUUAGAUAGUUGGUAAGGUAACGGCUUACCAAGGCAACGAUGCAUAGCCGACCGGAGAGGGUGAUAGGCCGCCCUGGAAGUGAGACACGGUCAAGACUCCUACGGGACGGCGCAGAAGGCUAUGUGACGCAACGGGCGAGAGCAUGGCGGAGUAGCGCCGAGCGAGUGGUGGAGAUCUUCGGAUCGUAAAACUCUGUUAUGAGGGAAGAACAUAUGUGUAAGUAAAUGUGCACAGCUUGACGGUAACUAAUAAGAAAGCCACGGCUAACUACGUG